Molecule: ribosomal RNA, 428 nt
Filed under: uncultured bacterium
Lineage: Bacteria
Description: bacterial SSU rRNA
Rfam family: Bacterial small subunit ribosomal RNA
Source: RNAcentral
UAGUCCUGGCCCUAAACGCUGUCUGCUAGUUAUUAGAGGAAUCGACCCCUCUAGUGACGAAGGUAACCCGUUAAGCAGACCGCCUGGGUAGUACGAGCGCAAGCUUAAAACUCAAAGGAAUAGACGGGGGCUCGCACAAGCGGUGGAUCAUGUGGCUUAAUUCGUCGCUAAGCGAAGAACCUUACCGAGGUUAGACAUCAUGCUGCACGCCCGGGGAAACCCGGGAAGCUUUCGAAGGUGCAUGACAGGUGACGCGUGGCCGUCGUCAGUUCGUGUCUUGAGAUGUUCCCUUAAGUGGGGAAACGAACGCAACCCUCGUCGUGUGUUACAAGUGUCACACGAGACUGCCCCCUCGACGGGGGAGGAAGGUGAGGAUGACGCCAGGUCAGCACGUCCUUAGAUAUCUCGGGCUGCACACGUGAUACAAU